AUGAGCCACGCCUCGUCAACCGGCGACGGGUGCAGCGCGGGAGAAGAGGCGGGGAGAUAUCGUUUUCUUCUCCCCGAUUCCUCGUCGCUGCUCAAGGAGCACGUUCGCUUGGCUGGGGAAUCACUACAGGCUGGUUUCAAAAUGAUUGGAACUCGCACCGGUUCCGUCCAAGGGGGGUGCCCUCCGAUGGAGGUUCUGUUGGUUGUGGUAUUGGAAGAAAAGUCACAAAUGGGAAAGCACAAGACAUGGAGAGGGAUUGAGUUUGGCCUUGAACUCCUCAAGAAGGGACUCAUACGGCGAGUGGGGAAUGGGAAGAGCAUACAAAUACAGAGGGAUCAAUGGAUACCGAGAAGCGAAGGUUUGAGAGCAGCCAACUUCACAUGCAGAUCAAGGAUAAGAUGGGUAAACCAACUCAUAGACCCCAUCACUAGGAGUUGGAACCAAGAACUCAUCCAUCGGAUCUUCAACCCGGUCGAUGCCACGGAGAUCCUCAAGAUCAAGAUACCGCAAUAA
This 513-nucleotide ribosomal RNA is filed under the name Triticum aestivum (bread wheat). RNAcentral's name for it is "partial small subunit ribosomal RNA". The record is from RNAcentral. Lineage: Eukaryota; Viridiplantae; Streptophyta; Magnoliopsida; Poales; Poaceae.